AAUAAUAAUUUGGUGUGAAUAUUUUUUAGUAACCCGGGGAAAAUAGAGUCGUUAAAAUUUCAGUGAUUAUGUUCCUGCGGUCGCCCAAACACUAUCAAUUUGACGUUUACAUCAUUGGAAAAAAUCCAGCAGUUACUCGAAGACUUCCAUUGCAAAAGGUCGUGUAUUUUGUCAGACCGCGCCGUUUCUAACAUAACAUAAAUAAAAGUCGUUCCGUUUUUUGCGUGUACACAUAAAAUGCACGUUGAAAAUGUGAAAAAGUGCACCUGAAAACGAGGCCAGUGACCAGAAUAAUUUUCAGUUUCGGGCAGUUUUCAAUCUGAAGAUAUUUAUUAUAUUUUAAUUAAGAUAGAAUAUGGGACGAUUCAGCGGCAAAAAAUGCCGCCUCCUCUCGAUGCUGUGGCUGACGACGGCGUUCUUCUUCGUCGAGAUUAUCGUCGGAUACAUUACCAAUUCGAUGGCCCUUGUGGCGGACAGUUUUCACAUGUUAAGUGACGUGGCGGCACUUUGUAUAGCGUUCAUAUCUGUCAAGAUGUCGCCGAAGAAAUGGUCGAAGAACACAUUCGGAUGGGCGAGGGCCGAGGUGCUGGGCGCACUGGUCAACGCCGUCUUCCUUGUCGCCCUGUGUUUCUCCAUAACUGUGGAGGCGUGCAAACGGUUCAUCGAGGUCGAACGCAUUCACGAUCCGAAAUUGCUGGUCGCCGUCGGUGUCGCCGGACUUGUCGUCAAUCUAGUCGGGCUGGCCCUUUUCCAUGAGCACGGAAGUUCGCACGGUCAUUCGCACGGUCGCCUAUCGCAUUCGAGAAAUCGACUUACGCAACUCGCGGUGACCGACGACAACGAGAACGACGAGACGUUCCAGUCGCCGCCCCAGCCAGACCCAGCGGCCGACAUGGCCCAGAGGCUGGCGUCGCCGCAUGGCCACUCGCACUCGGCCACACAGAUGAACAUGCGUGGUGUCUUUCUGCACGUGCUCAGCGACGCACUCGGCAGCGUCAUCGUCGUCAUAUCCGCAUUGAUCUUCUGGCUGACGGAGUGGACGUACAAGUUCUACAUAGACCCGGCACUCAGUAUCUUACUGGUGCUCCUCAUCCUCCACUCAGUGUGGCCGCUGCUCAGGGACUCGGCACUGAUUUUGUUGCAGACGGUACCGACGCACAUUCAAGUGGACGCCAUCCAACGUAAAUUGCUGUCCAAAGUGGACGGCGUCUUGGCCGUACACGAGUUCCACGUCUGGCAAUUGGCCGGCGACAGGAUCAUCGCCUCCGCUCACAUUCGUUGUCGCAAUCUCUCCGAGUACAUGAUGAUCGCGGAAAAGGUAAAGGAGUUCUUCCACAAUGAGGGCAUCCACUCGACCACCAUCCAGCCGGAGUUCAUCGAUUACACUGACAUUCCGACCAGCUCGCUGGGCGGACAGCCAAACGUGACCGAGGACUGCGUGCUGGACUGUCCGAAGACGAACGAAAUGGACAACUGCCUCAAGAACACUUGCUGCGGACCUUCCAAACAGGAUUCGUUCGAAUAUUCUUUUAACGUGAAAAAUAUGUUCAAAGUAUUCAAAAAAGCUAAGCCGAAAACUGAGGAGUUGGUGGAGAUUUGUCAUACAUUUUCUAAGAGCAAUGUAUAAGUAGCAGUGUUAGAAGAAAUGGAAGAUUACGUUUUUUCUGAAGACUGCUAAAAUAAACAAUUUCACGGAAAAGAUGGAUCUAGUCCAAAUAAUACCCCUUUGUGUAGACAAAGAUCAUCCGUAGCUUCAAUCCCAAACUAUAGUACAGAAGCUGCCGUCAAUGAAAUGGAAAAAGGAGUACUCCUUGAGAAAUCCAACAAUUUUUAAAAUAAAAAACUGUGAUUCUAGUUAAGGGUGUAAUUUUAAAUUAAUGACUAAUUAAAGUAUAUAAGUAUUAAAUUAUAUAAGUUA
Molecule: RNA transcript, 1918 nt
Organism: Aethina tumida (small hive beetle)
Lineage: Eukaryota; Metazoa; Arthropoda; Insecta; Coleoptera; Nitidulidae
Gene: ZnT63C
Gene name: zinc transporter 1
Exons: 8
Source: RefSeq, a predicted model, not a curated record